AAACGCUUGAAGUCAGUCGCGUUGUUCAGGAUUCAGCCUUGCUUUUGCUUGGUGUACUUCCUGUUCGACGGGUCAGCAUCAGUUUUGGCCGGUGGAUAAAGGUUCAGGGAAUGUGGCAUCUUCGGAUGUGUUAUAGACCUUGGUCGGAUACAACGGUUGGGAUUGAGGAACUCAGUGUUUACACUUAGGAUGCUGGCAUAAUGGCUUUAAUCGA
This 214-nucleotide ribosomal RNA is filed under the name Agaricales sp. Its description in RNAcentral is "partial large subunit ribosomal RNA". Lineage: Eukaryota; Fungi; Basidiomycota; Agaricomycetes; Agaricales. The record is from RNAcentral.